GUGCUCACUUUGCCUGCACAUAUACUAAAACUGGAAUAUUACAGAGAAAAUUAACAUGGCCCCAUUGUAAGGAUAACAUUCAAAUCUAUGUAACAUCCAUAUGUUU
Hyaena hyaena (striped hyena) is the source of this 106-nucleotide small nuclear RNA. The record is from RefSeq and is a predicted model, not a curated record. Lineage: Eukaryota; Metazoa; Chordata; Mammalia; Carnivora; Hyaenidae.